RNAcentral lists this ribosomal RNA (217 nucleotides) under uncultured bacterium. RNAcentral's name for it is "partial 16S ribosomal RNA". It matches the Rfam family "Bacterial small subunit ribosomal RNA", at positions 28 to 244 of the family's 1533-position model. The record is from RNAcentral.
GACGAACGCUGGCGGCGUGCUUAACACAUGCAAGUCGAGCGGUAAGGCCCUUUCGGGGGUACACGAGCGGCGAACGGGUGAGUAACACGUGGGUGACCUGCCCUCAGCUCUGGGAUAAGCCUGGGAAACCGGGUCUAAUACCGGAUAUGACUCCAUGACGCAUGUUGUGGGUUGGAAAGCCUUGUGCGGCUGAGGAGUCGGGCCCGCGGCCUAUCAG